This 468-nucleotide ribosomal RNA is filed under the name uncultured bacterium. RNAcentral describes it as "partial 16S ribosomal RNA". It matches the Rfam family "Bacterial small subunit ribosomal RNA", at positions 28 to 523 of the family's 1533-position model. The record is from RNAcentral.
GAUGAACGCUGGCGGCGUGCCUAACACAUGCAAGUCGAGCGAUUUACUUCGGUAAAGAGCGGCGGACGGGUGAGUAACGCGUGGGUAACCUGCCCUGUACACACGGAUAACAUACUGAAAGGUAUGCUAAUACGGGAUAACAUAAGAGAGUCGCAUGGCUUUCUUAUCAAAGCUUUUGCGGUACAGGAUGGACCCGCGUCUGAUUAGCUAGUUGGUAAGGUAACGGCUUACCAAGGCGACGAUCAGUAGCCGACCUGAGAGGGUGAUCGGCCACAUUGGAACGGAGACACGGUCCAAACUCCGACGGGGGGCAGCAGUGGGGAAUAUUGCACAAUGGGCGAAAGCCUGAUGCAGCAACGCCGCGUGAGCGAUGAAGGCCUUCGGGUCGUAAAGCUCUGUCCUCAAGGAAGAUAAUGACGGUACUUGAGGAGGAAGCCCCGGCUAACUACGUGCCAGCCGCCGCCGUAA